RNAcentral lists this long non-coding RNA (3669 nucleotides) under Lytechinus variegatus (green sea urchin). RNAcentral describes it as "uncharacterized LOC121411070". The record is from RNAcentral. Lineage: Eukaryota; Metazoa; Echinodermata; Echinoidea; Temnopleuroida; Toxopneustidae.
ACUCCUAGUACCUAUGAGGUCCAAACAUUACCUGUAUGGACCUCAUAGGCGACAUAAGUGAUAAAACUGGUUAGACAUUGCCGUUUCUAUUUUCAACCAAAGACUUUGGCAAAUGUACGCCUAAAUACAAAUAGGAUGGUAACAAUUUUGUUAUAAAUUAGUUCUAAACAUCAUAAGUAAACUUUACGACGUUUAAGAUUUAAUGGAUUGAGGUUAAUCUUACAUUUUCAAUCUUUUUUCUUGAAUUCUUGGUGGGCGUUCCAAACGCUGUGAGGACUGAUCAACUCCGAUUUGACUCGCGUACUGGUCAGCUGAUCGAUCAGGUGAUCAGUUGGUUAUCUUUUUGUCAGACGUUCAUAAUUUAUAUUACAAUAUCAAUCUUCCGUACCCGUAUCUUGAUUUCAAUGCAUAUGGGCAAUUCCAUGGUAACGGAAUUACAAAUCAGAGAAAUUUGGCUGUUAUUUUUGCUCACAGCAUCCAGAUAUCUCAAUAUUUUCAAAUUUUCUGAACCUAAUACUAUGCAUGGCCACUAGUGCUAUAUGCUGAACCAAGAUUUUUAGAAAACCCCUCACACGUUUAGAUGUGAAUGACGGAUAUGUGCUAUGGUAACGGAAUUACCAGAGAAAUGAGUCAUUUUGCAACCCAAAGUUUAGUAAAAGUUUCUCUGAAAUCUACAACACACUAGCUCCAAGUUAAUGUCUGAUUCAAUUCAUUAUAAUGUCAACUUUAUUUUGAAAGUAAUUUAUUCACAAAUAUCAUCAACAAAUUUUGAUGAUUGGUCUUUCUUUAGGGCAAGUACAUGGUAACAGAAUUACACAUAAUGGUAACGGAAUUACGCCUCUGACAUUUGGGAAGGAAAAUUAUAUUUUUAGGCAUUUAGGACUGGUGAAAUGCCUCAAUAAAGCUUGUUUAUACAUUCUUCUCUAAUACUUAACACAAUCUAAGUACUUUAUGUCUCUAAUAUUAAAUAAAAUAUAAGUAUAUAGUACGUAAUAGGUGGCUCUACCAUGAAUAAACAUGAUUUUGCAAAAUAUUAGGGAUCAGUGGUAAUUAAAUUUUAGUUCAUUUUCAAUUUUAGGGGUAUUAGGACUUACUAGCCACUUUUUGCCUCCUGUACUGAUGGAAAGAAUUAUGUAAAGGCCAAAAAUCAUCACUAGUAAUCAUGGUAACGGAAUUACAUGGACUACAGCCAUACGUAUACACAUUAGGAAUUUUACAAAAACUGAGGACAGCAUGUUAUCAGAUCUGCAUAUUUAGUCAAAGAUUUGUGUAGAUGAUAGUUUAAGAUAUUCUAAAGUAUUUGAAUACUCAAAAGAAACAUAGUUUCACAUACAAUUGGCAUCUUAAACAGUUAAACUGAAAACUUUCUAUUUGGUUGUUCAAUAAAAUGAUUUGAAAACAAGAAACAAUGCUGAAACCUCAUGAAAAUAGUGUUGACAUUUACAUCUUGAAAAAAUGUUGUGGACAACUAAGCAACAAAUUGGUUCUUAAUCAGUGCACCAAUCUAAUUUUUUUUAAAGGUAAGGAUUCAUUUUCUGUCUAUAUGUAGCUCACUGAGGACUGCAAUUAUAGCAGAUCUGUGUAUGAAGUCAGUAUCGGACAUCUUCCUGACAGAUGUAUUUCCCAAAUGUGACCCUAAGUAACUACAGUGAUUUGAUGAUCUUAUGUCAUAUUCAUGAAAUUAGUUGGUUUUCUUGGGCCAUGAUUUUUUUUUAUGAUAUUAAAAUUUUUAUCUUUUAUAUAAAAUAUGAAAAUUUAUCCGAGAUGCAUUUUUAUCUUCCGUCUCUAAAGAUAUGUGACAAAGCAGUGCCUAGGAUAUAGACAUGUUUAUCGCGUAUCCAAUCAUUGCAUCACAGAUGAUGUGCCUGCACCAAAUUUCCUUUGAAGAAAAAAAAAGAACUGCAAAUAAGGUGGAGGCUACAUGUAUUCUCUCUAUACAUUUUCAAUUUCAGCAAUAUUUCUAGGUCAAUUCGCUCAAGACUUUGAAAUAAGAAUAAAGGAAAAUGAUAAAUCAUUUAAUCAUUAGAGUACUACUCUAACAUUAUUCUUGUAGAUUAAAGAAAUAUUUCAAAUAAUUUUAUUGACUAAUGUUGUUUAUGAAAUGAAAUGAAGUACAAAAUGUGAUAUUGACUUCAUAUUUUUGUUCAUUUUUUUUUCAAUUAAAUCCCUGUAGGCACAGAAUUUGAUUUAAUGCCAUCUCACUCAUUUGCCAAAACUCAUGGCAGAAAGGCUUUUAAUUGGUUGAAUGAGAUGAGUGCUACAAAAAACAGCCUUUCUCAUUACAAAUUGGUUCAAAAAUAGGUUUGUGUCACAGAGAUAAAACAAAGACAAAAUGGUUAUUGGAAUACCAUUUCGGAACUUAUUUUAGGUGAUUUUAUAUCACUUAUUUUAAUAGAGGUAAAAUAUUUCAUUUUAUAUCAGAAUGUAUAUGAGAAUACUACCACUGUCUCUUAGCAUUUCUCUCACAGCAGAAUGCUGUACAUACAUUUCUACCCAUUUCAAACUGAGUUAUGUUGCUGUUCUCAGAUGUUGUGUUAUUAAUGACUUUGUUGGUCUCAAUAUUAUCACCAUCCUCUCCUUAGAGAAGUGUUCACAUUCUGUGUAUCAUCCUCACUUGAAGGGUCAUCGUCGUUACUCACUUUAUCCGUGAAGCAGUGAUUAUUGGAUGAUGCUGACUUUGCAUGUUUCUGAGCAUCCAUUGCAUACAUGUAGGGGUGGAGCACAUUAUUGGUUUGGUGCUAAUUAAGGCAUCUUGAAUAUCUGUCAAAUCCACCUUACUUUUGGAAAUGUCAUCUGUAUAAAGAUUUAGUAUGAUUUUUUGGCAUGUGAUUCUUGUAACAUCUGUAAAUUAUGGAUCUCACUUCAAUCUUUUCCACUCAUUACUUUUUACUGCUCGCUACACUGUUCGCCAAUCAAUGCCAGAGUCUGGUCCCUCACCAUGGCUUGUUGCAAAGAAUAUCCAAUCUUCCGUUGCAAGGACAGUUACACAGAAGAUAUCGCUUAAAUUAGUAGGCGGUCCCUUCUGAAAACUAUACCCAUUUCUUUGAAGCAGAGAAAUACUCCCAGCCGUCCCGGAAUUUCUUUUACUGAAAAGUUCAUUAAGUCUGUUGAAGACCUGUGAAUUGAUCAGAGGCAAUUACAAAAAAAAGGAAUGCCAUUCUUUUCCAAGGCACACACAGUGAACAUGGUCACUUCGUGAUUGUGCGUCCAGUAUUUUGGAUCUCAUUAGAACUGGUAUUUGGCAAUGACAUUUUUUGCAAAAUCAAUCUGAAUGAGAAUUUUGUUAAGAUCAUCCUGCAUAAUCAUUUUUCUACUCCUCCCCAAGAAUUGAUUGCCCAUUAAUCCUUUGUAAGGCAUUCACCUACAUUGUAUGCUCCAUCAAUAUACUUUAUUGAUGCUAAUGUACAUUAUCUUGCCCUUUUUCUGAAUGUUAUACUCAGGCGGCCAGGCCAUAUUGAAUGGGACUUGUCAAGUAAUUGUAUAAUUUCAUCCUCAUUUGGAGUGUAAUUACUAAUCAGAAGGCUUUUAAUGUUUAUAACUGUGAUCUACAGUUAAGAUAUCAACAUGCAAUUGGAACAAAAUUGGCUAACGCACACCCCUUUAAAGAUAUGAUAAUGGUAAUUCCGUUACCAUGUAAUUCCGUUACCACAGUUACAGCAGAAUUAGAAA